Molecule: long non-coding RNA, 913 nt
Organism: Heterocephalus glaber (naked mole-rat)
Lineage: Eukaryota; Metazoa; Chordata; Mammalia; Rodentia; Bathyergidae
Source: Ensembl
GGGCUGACGCAUCGCCGGUGCCCAUCGCUCACGGAAAGCGAACUUGGCGCGCGCGCACACGCACACGCACACGCACACUGCCGCCCGCGCCACGCGCUCCCAACUUGUCCCACGCCCCGGGAGCAGCUCCAUCGUCUUUGAAGUGUUCGCCCUCAGAAACUCCACUCACUGAUGCACGCUUUGUCUGAUUUACUCACGCAGACUCUUUCGUGGGCCUCUGAAACAAGUCUCUGACUCUCUAGGGCACAAAAAAUGAAUGGAUCCAGGGAUUGCGGGUGGAGAACUGUCUGGAAAACCAAGGACUCAACAAUAGAGCACCAAGCUUGUAGCUACUUCUCAUGAGGGAUGAACAAUCUUCUCUCUUCCAAAGGAGAGCAAGGGUCAGUCAGUUGAGAAGACUUUUGAGAAGUGGUCUCUUUGUUAGCCUGUGAAAUUGCAGUGAUCACAUACACUUGCAGCUCCCUGGACUCUCACUCUCCCUCACUCACAGCAAGUGCUGGCCUUGGAGGAGAGAUGGAACAAAGGAGCGAGACCUGGAACCCCGGAAAGCACUGACUUUUAAAGAAAGAAAAGGAGACAGCCUGGGGGACAGCAGCAGUUUAAUUCCUCUGGCACUAUUCGACAAUCACAAAGGAAAGAAGCAAGGCUUUUAUACAGAUGGAGAACCAAUGUUCCCUUUCUACCUUUGCCUUUUCUAUCAUCUAUCCUGAGUUGGGAAGAAACAUCCUACCUGCACGAACAGUUACUUGUGGAUUGAAGAAAAAUUAAAGUAAAAUUUAUUUUCCUACCCCUCAAAUCUUGUUUUUUUUUUUUUUUGGUACUGGGGAUCGAACUUGGGUCCUUGCGCUUGCGCAACAGGCGGCAAAACCGCUGAGCUAAAUCCCCAGCCCUACCCCUCAAAUCUUAAUAGCAG